This 468-nucleotide ribosomal RNA is filed under the name uncultured bacterium. RNAcentral's name for it is "bacterial SSU rRNA". It matches the Rfam family "Bacterial small subunit ribosomal RNA", at positions 30 to 492 of the family's 1533-position model. The record is from RNAcentral.
AUUGAACGCUGGCGGAAUGCUUUACACAUGCAAGUCGAACGGCAGCACGGGGCAACCUGGUGGCGAGUGGCGAACGGGUGAGUAAUACAUCGGAACGUGCCCAAUCGUGGGGGAUAACGUAGCGAAAGUUACGCUAAUACCGCAUACGAUCUACGGAUGAAAGCGGGGGAUAGCAAGACCUCGCGCGAGUGGAGCGGCCGAUGUCAGAUUAGGUAGUUGGUGGGGUAAAGGCUCACCAAGCCAACGAUCUGUAGCUGGUCUGAGAGGACGACCAGCCACACUGGAACUGAGACACGGUCCAGACUCCUACGGGAGGCAGCAGUGGGGAAUUUUGGACAAUGGGCGCAAGCCUGAUCCAGCCAUUCCGCGUGCAGGAUGAAGGCCUUCGGUUGUAACGUGCUUUGUUACGGAACGAAACGGCGAGCUCUAAUACAAGUUUGUCUAAUGACGGUACCGUAAGAAUAAGAC